UGGGGAAUAUUGCACAAUGGAGGGAACUCUGAUGCAGCGACGCCGCGCGAACGAAGAAGGCUUUCGAGUCGUAAAGUUCUUUUAUAUGGGAAGAUAAUGACGGUACCAUAAGAAAAAGCCCCGGCUAACUACGUGCCAGCAGCCGCGGUAAUACGUAGGGGGCUAGCGUUGUCCGGAAUCACUGGGCGUAAAGGGUUCGCAGGCGGAAAUGCAAGUCAGGUGUAAAAGGCAGUAGCUUAACUACUGUAAGCAUUUGAAACUGCAUAUCUUGAGAAGAGUAGAGGUAAGUGGAAUUUUUAGUGUAGCGGUGAAAUGCGUAGAUAUUAAAAAGAAUACCGGUGGCGAAGGCGACUUACUGGGCUCAUUCUGACGCUGAGGAACGAAAGCGUGGGUAGCAAACAGG
Molecule: ribosomal RNA, 403 nt
Filed under: bacterium
Lineage: Bacteria
Also listed under: 1 other name
Description: partial 16S ribosomal RNA
Rfam family: Bacterial small subunit ribosomal RNA
Source: RNAcentral